RNAcentral lists this ribosomal RNA (253 nucleotides) under uncultured bacterium. RNAcentral describes it as "partial 16S ribosomal RNA". It matches the Rfam family "Archaeal small subunit ribosomal RNA", at positions 474 to 727 of the family's 1478-position model. The record is from RNAcentral.
UACCAGCACCCCGAGUGGUCGGGACGUUUAUUGGGCCUAAAGCAUCCGUAGCCGGUUCGACAAGUCUUCCGUUAAAUCCAACUGCUUAACAGGUGGGCUGCGGAAGAUACUAUAGAGCUAGGAGGCGGGAGAGGCAAGCGGUACUCGAUGGGUAGGGGUAAAAUCCGUUGAUCCAUUGAAGACCACCAGUGGCGAAGGCGGCUUGCCAGAACGCGCUCGACGGUGAGGGAUGAAAGCUGGGGGAGCAAACCGG